This is a small nuclear RNA of Rhinolophus ferrumequinum (greater horseshoe bat), 107 nucleotides long. The record is from Ensembl. Lineage: Eukaryota; Metazoa; Chordata; Mammalia; Chiroptera; Rhinolophidae.
GUGCUCGCUUCGGCAGCACAUAUACUAAAAAUGGAACGAUACAGAGAAGAUUAGCGUGGCCCCUGCACAAGGAUGACAUGCAAAUUGGUGAAGCCUUCCCUAUUUUG